GACGAACGCUGGCGGCGUGCUUAACACAUGCAAGUCGAACGGUAAGGCCCUUCGGGGUACACGAGUGGCGAACGGGUGAGUAACACGUGGGUGAUCUGCCCUGCACUUCGGGAUAAGCCUGGGAAACUGGGUCUAAUUCCGGAUAGGACCACUGCCUGCAUGGGUGGUGGUGGAAAGCUUUUGCGGUGUGGGAUGGGCCCGCGGCCUAUCAGCUUGUUGGUGGGGUGAUGGCCUACCAAGGCGACGACGGGUAGCCGGCCUGAGAGGGUGACCGGCCACACUGGGACUGGGAUACGGCCCAGACUCCUACGGGAGGAAGCAGUGGAGAAUAUUGCGCAAGGGGCGAAAGCCUGAUGCAGCGGCGCCGCGUGAGGGAUGACGGCCUUCGGGUUGUAAACCUCUUUCAGCACCGACGAAGCGCAAGUGACGGUAGGUGCAGAAGAAGGACCGGCCAACUACGUGCCAGCCGCCGCCGUAA
Molecule: ribosomal RNA, 478 nt
Filed under: uncultured bacterium
Lineage: Bacteria
Description: partial 16S ribosomal RNA
Rfam family: Bacterial small subunit ribosomal RNA
Source: RNAcentral